Molecule: long non-coding RNA, 558 nt
Organism: Trichomycterus rosablanca
Lineage: Eukaryota; Metazoa; Chordata; Actinopteri; Siluriformes; Trichomycteridae
Exons: 3
Source: RefSeq, a predicted model, not a curated record
AUAGUUAAUACUCGAGUAUUUACAAAUCACUUGCGAGCUUACCAUGUACCAAAUGCCGAGGAUAAUGGUGCCCGUCCGUACAUGACAACAGAGGCAGCAGCUCGUUGUGUACCAUCUGUCCCACGGUGAAAUCAUCUUUCUACUUUAAAAUAAGCCCAGGUAUAAUAUGUAGAGUCGUAAGUAAGGAAAUGAAGUCGGUCAUAAGCCGGUUAUAAGCGGUAAAUGUGUCCGGUUGGUCGUGUACAGCGCGCUCAGUUUUCACUGCAAUCAGCUCAGCAGCUCCGUCCCUCAACAUUAAUGCAGCUUAGCUCCACAUCCACGUGACCGGACGGCGGGGAUUGGAGCUCAGAUCAGGACGAGAAGAGAUGGCACCAGGAUGCACUGUAGGACAACCCACCUUGUAAAAAACAGAACCUGAAGAACCAGCUGCUGGAACUGAGGGCUGCUCCGCCUGCUGGCUGACAAUUCGACCACCUCCAGGGCUUCCUGACUCAUCUCCAGGACCCUUCUCUUUCUUGCGCUGCUGACGCUUUUCUCGGUUACUGAUUUUUGUCUCCC